This 497-nucleotide ribosomal RNA is filed under the name uncultured bacterium. RNAcentral describes it as "partial 16S ribosomal RNA". It matches the Rfam family "Bacterial small subunit ribosomal RNA", at positions 28 to 507 of the family's 1533-position model. The record is from RNAcentral.
GACGAACGCUGGCGGCGUGCCUAAUACAUGCAAGUUGAGCGCUGAAGGUUGGUACUUGUACCAACUGGAUGAGCAGCGCACGGGUGAGUAACGCGUGGGGAAUCUGCCUUUGAGCGGGGGACAACAUUUGGAAACGAAUGCUAAUACCGCAUAAAAACUUUAAACACAAGUUUCAAGUUUGAAAGAUGCAAUUGCAUCACUCAAAGAUGAUCCCGCGUUGUAUUAGCUAGUUGGUGAGGUAAAGGCUCACCAAGGCGAUGAUACAUAGCCGACCUGAGAGGGUGAUCGGCCACAUUGGGACUGAGACACGGCCCAAACUCCUACGGGAGGCAGCAGUAGGGAAUCUUCGGCAAUGGACGAAAGUCUGACCGAGCAACGCCGCGUGAGUGAAGAAGGUUUUCGGAUCGUAAAACUCUGUUGGUAGAGAAGAACGUUGGUGAGAGUGGAAAGCUCAUCAAGUGACGGUAACUACCCAGAAAGGGACGGCUAACUACGUG